Cucurbita maxima (winter squash) is the source of this 867-nucleotide long non-coding RNA. RefSeq lists it as uncharacterized. NCBI's taxonomy places the organism in Eukaryota, Viridiplantae, Streptophyta, Magnoliopsida, Cucurbitales, Cucurbitaceae. The record is from RefSeq and is a predicted model, not a curated record. The transcript is spliced from 2 exons.
GAUGUUUCUACACCCUUAUAAGGAAUGUUUCGCUCCCCUCUCAAACCGAUGUGGGAUCUCACAUUCAAUAACCUUGUAACUAGGAAAGAACCCAGCAUGCUUACACGCUCUCCUUAUGAGGCCUCACUUCACCAACUUGCUUCAUCACCUCCACUGUCUUGUACCUAUAACAAGAUGCACACACUAAGUAGAAUCCAAAGUAUACAAGACUCAGCUGUGACAGUAGCCAGUAAAAAUAGUUUAGAUGAUCUCUGUCCAGGUUACUACUAGCCAGCCACCACUUUCCUUGAUCACCACCUCCACCACCACUGAGCUGGUGAAGUAUCCAAUUGCCUUUGAAUUGAUGGAGUGGGCACAUCAAAGCCCAGAAAACUCGAAUAUGUGAUUUCCUGCUCGAUUGUGAAAGUCUGGAGUUGAGCCGACUAUGAGUUCAUAAACACAGUGCUGACUACAAUUGGAACCAUUCGGAUCUGUAUCGCUAAUAACUGCAGUUCGGUCCAAGAAUCUGGGGAACUCAUAGCCAUUUUAAUUAGAAACACAGAACAACACACAGCUUGGAGUCAUGGAAGAAAAGGAGGCAGAGUUCAUAGCGUUGUCUGAAGCGAUCACAGUAAGGAUAUUUUUAUGAUGAUCAAAGUAGUACCCAUUUUACUUGUAAAAGAAUAAUUAAAUUGAUAGGGUGCAAGCAGAAGUACUUCAACCGUGCGGCGUCGUAACCUUGUGGUCCUGACGCGCAUGACAAGCCUUGAGGAAAAUCUAAGCCCCAUAUUCAUUUUUAUUCCAGUUUUGUGGUUUCGUUAAACUUUAGACGAUGUUUAUUUUUACCAAUCGAACACAACUUGUGUUGAAUCUAAACUUGUUUGGCUA